GAUGAACGCUAGCGACAGGCUUAACACAUGCAAGUCGAGGGGCAGCAGGGGAGUAGCAAUACUCCCGCUGGCGACCGGCGCACGGGUGAGUAACACGUAUGCAACCUGCCCUUGUCAGGGGGAUAAGCGGAAGAAAUUCCGUCUAACACCGCAUAAUGCUGCGGGGAGACAUCUCCCUGCAGCCAAAGAUUUAUCGGACAAGGAUGGGCAUGCGGCGCAUUAGCUUGUUGGCGGGGUAACGGCCCACCAAGGCGACGAUGCGUAGGGGUUCUGAGAGGAAGGUCCCCCACACUGGUACUGAGACACGGACCAGACUCCUACGGGAGGCAGCAGUGAGGAAUAUUGGUCAAUGGCCGGGAGGCUGAACCAGCCAAGUCGCGUGAGGGAAGACGGUCCUAUGGAUUGUAAACCUCUUUUGUCAGGGAGCAAAAACUGCCACGUGUGGCAGGAUGAGAGUACCUGAAGAAAAAGCAUCGGCUAACUCCGUGCCAGCAGCCGCGGUAAUACGGAGGAUGCGAGCGUUAUCCGGAUUUAUUGGGUUUAAAGGGUGCGUAGGCGGACAGUUAAGUCAGCGGUAAAAUUGAGAGGCUCAACCUCUUCCCGCCGUUGAAACUGAUUGUCUUGAGUGGGCGAGAAGUAUGCGGAAUGCGUGGUGUAGCGGUGAAAUGCAUAGAUAUCACGCAGAACUCCGAUUGCGAAGGCAGCAUACCGGCGCCCAACUGACGCUGAAGCACGAAAGCGUGGGUAUCGAACAGGAUUAGAUACCCUGGUAGUCCACGCAGUAAACGAUGAAUACUAAUUGUUCGGGUCAAAUGAGAUCUGAGUGAUACAGCGAAAGCGUUAAGUAUUCCACCUGGGGAGUACGCCGGCAACGGUGAAACUCAAAGGAAUUGACGGGGGCCCGCACAAGCGGAGGAACAUGUGGUUUAAUUCGAUGAUACGCGAGGAACCUUACCCGGGCUCAAACGACACAGGAAUGAUCUGAGAAAUCAGGCAGUCCUCCGGGACCUGUGUCGAGGUGCUGCAUGGUUGUCGUCAGCUCGUGCCGUGAGGUGUCGGCUUAAGUGCCAUAACGAGCGCAACCCCCAUCGACAGUUGCCAGCAGGUCAAGCUGGGCACUCUGUCGAGACUGCCGGCGCAAGCUGUGAGGAAGGCGGGGAUGACGUCAAAUCAGCACGGCCCUUACGUCCGGGGCGACACACGUGUUACAAUGGCAGGUACAGCGGGAAGCCACCUGGCGACAGGGAGCGGAACCCGAAAGCCUGUCUCAGUUCGGAUUGGAGUCUGCAACUCGACUCCAUGAAGCUGGAUUCGCUAGUAAUCGCGCAUCAGCCACGGCGCGGUGAAUACGUUCCCGGGCCU
RNAcentral lists this ribosomal RNA (1362 nucleotides) under uncultured bacterium. RNAcentral's name for it is "16S ribosomal RNA". It matches the Rfam family "Bacterial small subunit ribosomal RNA", at positions 28 to 1381 of the family's 1533-position model. The record is from RNAcentral.